AAGCGCGCGCUCACAGCCGACUCCAGCAAGGCACUUUCUGCAGAACUCGGGCUUCGGUGCUGGGGGUGACGGCUGGAGCCAUCCACGGUGACCCUGCACGCUGUGGCACUCGGGCAGGCCACAUUCCCACUGUUCAACCCGCUCUACCGUAAAAUGGUGUUUUACAAUAAAAAUGCCCAUCCCAGCACCUCUAGGGGGCAGAGCCAAGGUUAGAGAGGAGGGACAGGCAGAGGGCAAUUAAAUGUCCAGAGCCAGCAGCCAGGUUCAAAGCCCCGCCCUCCUAGUUUCUGAACUCAGCAGUCUGACCGUGAGAGCCAGGUGGCUCUCAGCCCUCCGCUGCCGUCUACUGUGCCGCCAGCCUGAUUGUCAUCUAGAAAAUGGCAAAGGUGGCGUCAGGAGUCAUUUGGCACUUCCUGAUAACCAAUCGUGUCCUGCCAGACACAGAUGUUUCCUAUAGCCACAACAGCGCCAAAGCAGCUACAAGUGUUCAACUUUGACCUCACGGACUCCCAACAAGCUGCAGGUGUUCAACUCUGACCUCACAGACUUCCAACAAGCUGGACCUGCACCUUCUCUCCCAGCCAUGGAUGUUCUCACAGACCCUGGAAAGCAUCAAGGCAGCCUGUUCUUCCUGGACUUGGCCAACAUUUCAGCCUUUUGACCUCCCUACAGUGCCCCCAGUGUCAGCAGGAAGUAGCCAGAAGAGAAGCUACGCCCGUUAUUCACUUGUUGUUAACAAAAGGCUGAAAUGGUGUGCUUCAGGACCAGGACAAGCAGCUCCAGGUUCUCCCAGCGUUCCCCAGUCCCUACCUGCUGCCUUGCCAUGGCUGGCAAAUCUCUCUAUUGACAACCCUCUACCCUAAAUUUUCCAGGGCAGGGACUUCCCUUACUCUUGACCUUGCAAUCUGACCAUUUUGUUGCUAUAAUUCUUCUCUCUCUUAACCCUUUGCAAUGACAACCAAGAGCUGCUUCCAAUGAGCCUAAAUUUAUAUACUUUAACUUACCUUAUAAAAGCAGCCCAAGCUCCCCAUUUUUUUAAUUAUAGAAAAAGGGAGGAAUCUUAGUACUUUGGAACACAACCUGCUCCUGGGUUACCCAGCAACCUAUGAUGUCAUCAUGUGUUGCCAGCCAGGUGGCAACAUGAUGGCCUUAAAGGGCCAACCCCGUGGUCUCUCUCUUACUCUCCUCUUGCUCUCUCUCACGUUCUCCCACUCUCUUGGGGCACCCCUUCCCUUUUCUCUCUCUCUCUUCAUGUCCUGCUUCCCCCAGCCACCAUACCCUCCUAAUAAAUCUCCUGCAGAGAAGAUUGGUUGACCAGCCUCAUGCUUUUUUAAUAACAGGCAUCAGGAAUCAGAGGAGACUGCCUCAGUUUACACAGCUUUAUUUUCUAGACUUUGGCCAUUAACAUUUUCCACGAAAACAGCAUUUGGAAAAUGUUGUCACCUUUCCCCAGGUUGCCUUCCUGUCGCCGUCUUCACGGAAACAGCCCAGGGGGAAGCGGAAGGACCCAGUUUCAGGCCCACCAGCCCACGAGGGCUCCUACCUGUCCGCAGCGGCCCUGCUUCACCCACCUGCUGCUUCGAGGACUGGUUGGCAGGUUCUCCCUCGAGCAGACUUGGGCACAGGGAAAAGGCUGUUUUGUAACUUUUGGCUGGAACUUCCAGAGGCCGAACAGGAAACGUCCUCUGGGACAAGGAGCUCAAGGAGUCACCUCGGGUUUUCCUGGAAGCUGCUGGCAACAGCGGGCUGAGCUUACUUCAUUCAAGCCAGGUGUGAUGGUGCACACUCCCAGCACACAGGAGGCUGAGGAGGCAAGAGGAUCAAAGUUCAAGGCCAGCCUGGGCUACAGAAUAAGUUCUAGACCAGCCUAGGCAACCUGAGACCCUGUCUCAAAACAUAUGUAAGUAGACAAGUAAAUAAAUCAAUGACACGUUUUAAGGGAUUUUGUGUCUAAGGAAGGGAUAAAGUUCUGUUGACUUAAGCAAAUUAAAACUCACCCUAAGUUUUCACCGUUUAGACAUGAGCAAACUCUUACUUUAUUCGAGGAUCCUCGAAGGGAUGAGGAGCUAAGUCUGACAGAGAAGCCAGCUGGGUG
Long non-coding RNA from Meriones unguiculatus (Mongolian gerbil), 2095 nucleotides. RefSeq lists it as uncharacterized. The record is from RefSeq and is a predicted model, not a curated record. NCBI's taxonomy places the organism in Eukaryota, Metazoa, Chordata, Mammalia, Rodentia, Muridae. The transcript is spliced from 3 exons.